This 1211-nucleotide long non-coding RNA is filed under the name Mus spicilegus (steppe mouse). RNAcentral's name for it is "lncRNA (ENSMSIG00000010068.1)". Lineage: Eukaryota; Metazoa; Chordata; Mammalia; Rodentia; Muridae. The record is from RNAcentral.
AUGAGAUGAGGAACUGCCCGAGGGCGGGCUGGGAGGACGACUGGACUAUAUAAAAAAAAGAUUAAAUAUAUAUAUAUAUAUAUUUUAAAGUGGCUCAGAAGUGAGAGACUAAGAGAGCAACAGUAGUGACUCAUGACUGCUGUGAUCUGGAUUGAGCUUGUGCUCACAGUUACUAAUUUUCCCCUCAGUUGAAGAUAUGCCUACUUAGGGAUAGUUACGAUACAUAAUAGCUGACAAAAGAAAUAGAGGGUGAAAUUGAAAAGCGCUCUUUUUCUAGACCCUGUUCGCGUAGUUCACGGAUCACAAAGCUGUCUGGAAAACACUGAUUGAAAACGUUCUUCUCUUUAAUUGGACUGUGAAAGAAACCAGGGGGCGGGGGUGUGGUGUGGAGUGGAGGUGGGGCAGCGGGGCUCCAAGAGGAGAGGGCAAGCUGACCAGACCCAUUGUCUGUGGGAUUUAUCCUGGAGUGAUGGAAACCAGUCACCCUAGAGAAGCAGCGAAUGACAAGGAGCAAUGGGGAUGAGGAAUUUAACUCAGUCGAACAGGUUCAAAGGGAGGUGAUAGUCCUCUCCGGGUUCUAUGUGGACAGAGAAAAACGCGUACCAGAGUUGCAGUAAGAGUCUCAGUCCCACCUGUGCGGAAGUCCACGCAAGGACCCACGGAGCUGCAGCAGGCAGUGGAGGACGCUCUGUCAUUGGCUCUUGCUCCCACUGACAACAUCUCCUGCUUCUUUCUCUCUAACCUUUGGUUUAUUCUGAAGGUAAAGAAUAGGUUACAUUUAUCCGGAGAGGAAGAAAAGAAGCUCGACAGUUUACAACUGUCUUAGUUCGGUCAGAGAUGACUAAUCUACAGUGACCUGGUUGGAAUUGUGAUCCCCACAAGCAGGUAAAGAAGAAAGUACAUUAAGUUUAAAUAUUAAAAAUAUUCAACUGACGAAAACAUGAUCCUGUUUGUGCUGACAAUUGUGAUCGGUCAUCGGUACUAAGGCUGACCCUUUUGGCUAAUACCCAUUUACUUACUCGUCUAAUGUUACUGGACUGUUCUUAGUUUCUAAAAACAAAUUAAAAAAAUAACAGUAUAAUAAGUGUUUGAGAACAAAAGAAGAUGACAGACAAUAAUAACCACACCUUUCCAAACUAGUGUUAGCAAUAGGUAAGGAUUCAAUAGCAGAAAAAACCGCCACCACCAGUAUAGGAAUCAGACCUGAGAAG